RNAcentral lists this ribosomal RNA (507 nucleotides) under uncultured Sphingobacterium sp. Its description in RNAcentral is "bacterial SSU rRNA". It matches the Rfam family "Bacterial small subunit ribosomal RNA", at positions 9 to 512 of the family's 1533-position model. Lineage: Bacteria; Pseudomonadati; Bacteroidota; Sphingobacteriia; Sphingobacteriales; Sphingobacteriaceae. The record is from RNAcentral.
GAGUUUGAUCCUGGCUCAGGAUGAACGCUAGCGGCAGGCCUAAUACAUGCAAGUCGAGGGGCAGCAGGGAUAGCAAUAUUCGCUGGCGACCGGCGCACGGGUGCGUAACACGUAUACAAUCUGCCUUUAACAGGGGGAUAGCCCGGAGAAAUCCGGAUUAAUACCCCAUAACAGAUCGAAUGGCAUCAUUUGAUUUUGAAAGCUCCGGCGGUUAAAGAUGAGUAUGCGUCUGAUUAGCUAGUUGGUGAGGUAACGGCUCACCAAGGCGACGAUCAGUAGGGGAUCUGAGAGGAUUAACCCCCACACGGAUACUGAGACACGGAUCCGACUCCUACGGGAGGCAGCAGUAAGGAAUAUUGGACAAUGCCCGCAAGGGUGAUCCAGCCAUGCCGCGUGCAGGAAGACGGCCCUAUGGGUUGUAAACUGCUUUUACACCGGAGAAAACCUUCCCUCGUGAGGGGAGCUGAUAGUAUGGUGAGAAUAAGCAUCGGCUAACUUCGUGCCAGC